RNAcentral lists this ribosomal RNA (300 nucleotides) under Paraeuchaeta elongata. RNAcentral describes it as "partial 16S rRNA". The record is from RNAcentral. Lineage: Eukaryota; Metazoa; Arthropoda; Copepoda; Calanoida; Euchaetidae.
AAUUAGUUUUUUUAUUGGAAAAUAGAAUGAAAGAAUAUAUUAAAUUAUCAUUUUCUUUUUAUUUUAUUUGAAUUUUUAUUUUAAAUGAAAAUAUUUAAAGUUUUAUAUUAGACAAAAAGACCCUAUGAAGCUUAAGAUAUAAAAUAAUUAAUAUUUAAUAARUAUCUAUUAUUUGGGGAAAAUAAUAAUAAUUUUAUUAAAAUUAAUUUAAUAAAAAAGGAUCCUGUCUCAGGAAUYAUGAAAUAGCUCCUCUAGGGAUAACAGCAUAAUAUUUAUUAAAGUUCUUAUUAACUUAAAUGU